This 234-nucleotide ribosomal RNA is filed under the name uncultured Actinomycetales bacterium. RNAcentral's name for it is "partial 16S ribosomal RNA". It matches the Rfam family "Bacterial small subunit ribosomal RNA", at positions 98 to 334 of the family's 1533-position model. Lineage: Bacteria; Bacillati; Actinomycetota; Actinomycetes; Actinomycetales. The record is from RNAcentral.
GCGAACGGGUGAGUAACACGGUGGGUGAUCUGCCCUGCACUCUGGGAUAAGCCUGGGAAACUGGGUCUAAUACCGGAUAGGACCAUGCUUUAGUGUGUGUGGUGGAAAGUUUUUUCGGUGUAGGAUGAGCCCGCGGCCUAUCAGCUUGUUGGUGGGGUAAUGGCCUACCAAGGCGGCGACGGGUAGCCGGACUGAGAGGUUGGUCGGCCACAUUGGGACUGAGAUACGGCCCAG